UACAGAGGGUGCAAGCGUUAAUCGGAAUUACUGGGCGUAAAGCGUGCGCAGACGGUUGCGUAAGUCAGAUGUGAAAGCCCCGGGCUCAACCUGGGAACUGCAUUUGUGACUGCAUGGCUAGAGUACGGUAGAGGGGGAUGGAAUUCCGCGUGUAGCAGUGAAAUGCGUAGAUAUGCGGAGGAACACCGAUGGCGAAGGCAAUCCCCUGGACCUGUACUGACGCUCAUGCACGAAAGCGUGGGGAGCAAACAGG
This 253-nucleotide ribosomal RNA is filed under the name uncultured bacterium. RNAcentral's name for it is "partial 16S ribosomal RNA". It matches the Rfam family "Bacterial small subunit ribosomal RNA", at positions 524 to 776 of the family's 1533-position model. The record is from RNAcentral.